AGAUUGAACGCUGGCGGCAGGCCUAACACAUGCAAGUCGAGCGGUAGAGAGGUGCUUGCAUCUCUUGAGAGCGGCGGACGGGUGAGUAAUGCCUAGGAAUCUGCCUAGUGGUGGGGGAUAACGUUCGGAAACGGACGCUAAUACCGCAUACGUCCUACGGGAGAAAGCGGGGGACCUUCGGGCCUCGCGCCAUUAGAUGAGCCUAGGUCGGAUUAGCUAGUUGGUGAGGUAAUGGCUCACCAAGGCGACGAUCCGUAACUGGUCUGAGAGGAUGAUCAGUCACACUGGAACUGAGACACGGUCCAGACUCCUACGGGAGGCAGCAGUGGGGAAUAUUGGACAAUGGGCGAAAGCCUGAUCCAGCCAUGCCGCGUGUGUGAAGAAGGUCUUCGGAUUGAAAGCACUUUAAGUGGAGGAAGGUUGUAACCUAAUACGUUGCAACUUUGACGUUACGACAGAAUAAGCAACCGGCUAACUCGUGCCAGCAGCCGACGG
RNAcentral lists this ribosomal RNA (495 nucleotides) under uncultured soil bacterium. Its description in RNAcentral is "bacterial SSU rRNA". It matches the Rfam family "Bacterial small subunit ribosomal RNA", at positions 26 to 520 of the family's 1533-position model. The record is from RNAcentral.